RNAcentral lists this unclassified non-coding RNA (342 nucleotides) under soil metagenome. RNAcentral's name for it is "partial contains 5.8S ribosomal RNA, internal transcribed spacer 2, and large subunit ribosomal RNA". The stretch from base 1 to 120 matches the Rfam family "5.8S ribosomal RNA", at positions 35 to 154 of the family's 154-position model. The record is from RNAcentral.
GAUGAAGAACGUAGCGAAAUGCGAUAAGUAGUGUGAAUUGCAGAAUUCAGUGAAUCAUCGAAUCUUUGAACGCACAUUGCGCCCUUUGGUAUUCCAAAGGGCAUGCCUGUUCGAGCGUCAUUUGUACCCUCAAGCUUUGCUUGGUGUUGGGCGUCUUGUCUCUAGCUUUGCUGGAGACUCGCCUUAAAGUAAUUGGCAGCCGGCCUACUGGUUUCGGAGCGCAGCACAAGUCGCACUCUCUAUCAGCAAAGGUCUAGCAUCCAUUAAGCCUUUUUUUUCAGCUUUUGACCUCGGAUCAGGUAGGGAUACCCGCUGAACUUAAGCAUAUCAAUAAGCGGAGGA